Molecule: ribosomal RNA, 174 nt
Filed under: uncultured fungus
Lineage: Eukaryota; Fungi
Description: partial 28S ribosomal RNA
Rfam family: Eukaryotic large subunit ribosomal RNA
Source: RNAcentral
UUGACCUCAAAUCAGGUAGGACUACCCGCUGAACUUAAGCAUAUCAAUAAGCGGAGGAAAAGAAACUAACGAGGAUUCCCCUAGUAACUGCGAGUGAAGCGGGAAGAGCUCAAAUUUGAAAUCUGACGGUUUUCUUGAUCGUCCGAGUUGUAAUCUAGAGAAGUGCUAGCUGUG